UACAGAGGUCUCAAGCGUUGUUCGGAUUCAUUGGGCGUAAAGGGCGCGUAGGUGGCCCGGUCAGUUCGUGGUGAAAGCGCGGGGCUCAACUCCGCGUCGGCCAUGAAUACUGCUGGGCUGGAGCACUGUAGAGGCAGGCGGAAUUCCGGGUGUAGCGGUGGAAUGCGUAGAGAUCCGGAAGAACACCGGUGGCGAAGGCGGCCUGCUGGGCAGUAGCUGACACUGAGGCGCGACAGCGUGGGGAGCAAACAGG
RNAcentral lists this ribosomal RNA (253 nucleotides) under uncultured bacterium. RNAcentral describes it as "partial 16S ribosomal RNA". It matches the Rfam family "Bacterial small subunit ribosomal RNA", at positions 524 to 776 of the family's 1533-position model. The record is from RNAcentral.